CAAGAUAAAGUUUAUAUUAAAACAAUUCUCUUACACAGAAAAAAAAUUUGUUCAAACCAAAUUAUCUUGA
This 70-nucleotide transfer RNA is filed under the name Euretaster insignis. Its description in RNAcentral is "tRNA-Val". It matches the Rfam family "tRNA". Rfam says of the family: Transfer RNA (tRNA) molecules are approximately 80 nucleotides in length. The record is from RNAcentral. Lineage: Eukaryota; Metazoa; Echinodermata; Asteroidea; Velatida; Pterasteridae.